GGAAGGUUGGCCGAGUGGUUUAAGGCUCUCGUCUUGAAAACGAGCGCGGGUGAGAGCCCGCCGGGGGUUCGAAUCCCUCACCUUCCGCCA
This 90-nucleotide transfer RNA is filed under the name Holophagaceae bacterium. RNAcentral describes it as "tRNA-Ser". It matches the Rfam family "tRNA". Rfam says of the family: Transfer RNA (tRNA) molecules are approximately 80 nucleotides in length. Their secondary structure includes four short double-helical elements and three loops (D, anti-codon, and T loops). Further hydrogen bonds mediate the characteristic L-shaped molecular structure. tRNAs have two regions of fundamental functional importance: the anti-codon, which is responsible for specific mRNA codon recognition, and the 3' end, to which the tRNAs corresponding amino acid is attached (by aminoacyl-tRNA synthetases). tRNAs cope with the degeneracy of the genetic code in two manners: having more than one tRNA (with a specific anti-codon) for a particular amino acid; and 'wobble' base-pairing, i.e. permitting non-standard base-pairing at the 3rd anti-codon position. Lineage: Bacteria; Pseudomonadati; Acidobacteriota; Holophagae; Holophagales; Holophagaceae. RNAcentral also lists the same sequence under 1 other name. The record is from RNAcentral.